This 584-nucleotide ribosomal RNA is filed under the name uncultured bacterium. RNAcentral's name for it is "bacterial SSU rRNA". It matches the Rfam family "Bacterial small subunit ribosomal RNA", at positions 338 to 916 of the family's 1533-position model. The record is from RNAcentral.
CCUACGGGAGCAGCAGUGGGGAAUUUUGGACAAUGGGCGCAAGCCUGAUCCAGCAAUGCCGCGUGCAGGAUGAAGGCCUUCGGGUUGUAAACUGCUUUUGUACGGAACGAAAAAGUCUGCCCUAAUACGGUGGGCCCAUGACGGUACCGUAAGAAUAAGCACCGGCUAACUACGUGCCAGCAGCCGCGGUAAUACGUAGGGUGCGAGCGUUAAUCGGAAUUACUGGGCGUAAAGCGUGCGCAGGCGGUUAUAUAAGACAGAUGUGAAAUCCCCGGGCUCAACCUGGGACCUGCAUUUGUGACUGUAUAGCUAGAGUACGGUAGAGGGGGAUGGAAUUCCGCGUGUAGCAGUGAAAUGCGUAGAUAUGCGGAGGAACACCGAUGGCGAAGGCAAUCCCCUGGACCUGUACUGACGCUCAUGCACGAAAGCGUGGGGAGCAAACAGGAUUAGAUACCCUGGUAGUCCACGCCCUAAACGAUGUCAACUGGUUGUUGGGUCUUCACUGACUCAGUAACGAAGCUAACGCGUGAAGUUGACCGCCUGGGGAGUACGGCCGCAAGGUUGAAACUCAAAUGAAUUGACGG